GUUCGCCAUUUAAAGUGGUACGCGAGCUGGGUUUAGAACGUCGUGAGACAGUUCGGUCCCUAUCUGCCGUGGGCGCUGGAGAACUGAGGGGGGCUGCUCCUAGUACGAGAGGACCGGAGUGGACGCAUCACUGGUGUUCGGGUUGUCAUGCCAAUGGCACUGCCCGGUAGCUAAAUGCGGAAGAGAUAAGUGCUGAAAGCAUCUAAGCACGAAACUUGCCCCGAGAUGAGUUCUCCCUGAGACUUAGAGUCUCCUGAAGGAACGUUGAAGACGACGACGUUGAUAGGCCGGGUGUGUAAGCGCAGCGAUGCGUUGAGCUAACCGGUACUAAUGAACCGUGAGGCUUAACCUUACAACGCCGAAG
Molecule: ribosomal RNA, 364 nt
Filed under: Escherichia coli
Lineage: Bacteria; Pseudomonadati; Pseudomonadota; Gammaproteobacteria; Enterobacterales; Enterobacteriaceae
Description: bacterial LSU rRNA
Rfam family: Bacterial large subunit ribosomal RNA
Source: RNAcentral